Pieris brassicae (large cabbage white) is the source of this 410-nucleotide long non-coding RNA. RefSeq lists it as uncharacterized. The record is from RefSeq and is a predicted model, not a curated record. The transcript has 3 exons. Lineage: Eukaryota; Metazoa; Arthropoda; Insecta; Lepidoptera; Pieridae.
AGCGCGGCCGACCGCCUCUAAUAUUACUAUGGCUCGGAAAGAUAAAAACAUGGAAUAAUCAUAAGUGUGUUAACUGAUGGAUUUUAAUGUCGUUGGCAGUCAGUUCAAGGACCCCUUCGAUCCUCGGUUGUAGAAGUUGUUAAAGGACCACAACGGAAUAUGCAACGUGACACCGGAAUUCAGCUAAUGGCGGAGGCUUGUACCAUUACCCCAUGUAACGCGAGCUGUAUUGCCAGUAUGUGCAUCUCAGACAACCACUUUCAAUUACAUUAUGGGAGUGGCUGAAACUCUACACGUUAGGGGGGCUAUUUGGUGACGUUUCGUUAAAGUCAAUAUAUUCAUUUCGGUAAUUUACAUAUAUGAAUGACCAAAGAUUUGAAAUUAUACAUGGUAAUACUAUAAGAUAUUAA